Molecule: ribosomal RNA, 477 nt
Filed under: uncultured bacterium
Lineage: Bacteria
Description: partial 16S ribosomal RNA
Rfam family: Bacterial small subunit ribosomal RNA
Source: RNAcentral
GACGAACGCUGGCGGCGUGCUUAACACAUGCAAGUCGAACGGAAAGGCGCUGCCUUUGUGGGGUGCUGGGGUGGAGAAGGGGAGAGUAACACGAGAGGAACGUGACCUUGACUUUGGGAUAGCUUCACGAAACGAAGGCGAAGACAGGAUAGGAGAUCCUGCGGCAGUGUGGGGGUUGGUAAGGUUCGGCGGUUGCGGCGGUGCGGGAUGGUUAUGAGGCGGAUGGGCGGGUUGGUGGGGUAGUGGCUUACCAAGGGGUUGGCGGGUAGCCGGCCUGAGAGGGUGACCGGCCACACUGGGACUGAGAUACGGGCCAGACUCCUACGGGAGGCAACAGUGGGGGAUAUUGUGCAGCGGGCGGGAGCCUUGUGCGGCGGCGCCGCGUGCGGUAUGACGGCCUUCCGGUUGUGAACCACUUUCGCCUGUGACGAAGCGUGAUUGACGGUAACGGGUAAAGAAGCACCGGCUAACUACGUG